CGCCCCGCCGCCCCGCCGCCGCGCGAGCAGGAGGCCCGGCGAGUCGCGGCCGGCACCGAGGUCCCCCGCUCGCUCCCUCCCUCCACGCGUCACGGCCGAUAGACUGAUCCCGUCGCGGCCUCCCGCCGACGAGCGGCGCCUCCGUCCCGACUCGCGGAGUGCUCGGCGCCGAACUCGCUCGAUUCCUCGCAGCGACCAGGUGAUGAAAGCAUGGAGGCAAAUGUGGCGCAUGAUGAUGAUGUAGAGAUUGAAGAAGAAUACGUCCUGCUUGAUCUCGACUCCAUCCCUGAGCAGUUCGACAUCCCGGCCAAUGCGCCUUAUGUCUUGUCUGGUUUGGAUACGUUGAAUCCCAUAUUGGUCAUUGAUAACAAAUUGAAGCUGAUUGGGCAUUACGAGGAAACAAUAGGAACAUGUAUUGCUCUUACCGAAGAGGGUACUUCCUCCAUUGUUCCUGAAGAGACAGGACCAUCUGAAGCGAACAAAUCCUCUGGCAAAUCUAAUAUGGAUCCAAAUCAGUGUCCCAGCAAGCAAGUAAAACCAGUUGCCUGCAUCAAUAAGAUUCUCAAGUUUAAAUUAUUUGUAGAUACCAAUGUUCCUGACGCAAGUGCUCAGCCAUGAAUAAAUGUUUUCAUGUAGUCAUCAAUCACUUGGAAAAUUGGUUGUCUUGUGGAUACAUUGGGCUUCUAGAGAUAAAGAGAAGAAGAAGGGGGGGGUUUCUCUAGGACUCAGCAAUAACCAUAUUAUCAUCUGAAAUUAUCAGGGAAAACUCUUAGUCAGCUCUUCAUGUCCUUGUGGAUUUGUGUUUCUGGGGUGUAAUUGCUGGUGUAAAGCUCAAAGCUUUCUUCAUGAGCUUUUCAAAAUAAAGGACUCGCAUGCUUAAUGGGAUGAAUCAGUAGGUCCAACAAACCUUGAACUUUCCUUGUCAGGAUGAAUUGGAGAUUCAUUUUUAAACCCUCCAGAUGCUGCUCUUCUGUGGUAAUAACUACUAGAACCAAGACAACCUCUGCACGGAAUGUAGCCUCCAGGGCUAGAGACCCAACAUUCGAAAAACUCAUGGAGAAGUACAAAAACCUUCUUAAAGUGGUUGCAAUUCAAGACCUCUUCCUUGCUUCGAGCAACCCUUCAUCAUCAAUUUCAUUGGACUUCCUCAAUAGGCUCUCCCAGAAGCUCCGCUUGAAUCGUGGUGCUGCCUCCUUCAUCUGCAAAUACCCCCACAUCUUCCAAAUAUUUUAUGAUACUAAUAAGUCUCAAUCCUUUUGCAAAUUAACCAAUGCUGCCAUUGAAAUUGCCUUGGAAGCAAGUCAGGCAAUCAAAGCAUCAAUGCCCCUUGUUGUAGACCGAUUACUUCACCUUUUAUUAAUGACUCCAAAAAAGUCUUUGCCACUCCGCGCUGCUUUCAAGGUCUGGAGGGAGCUUGGUCUCCCAGAUGACUUUGAGGAUUCUGUUAUUUCUCGAAAUUCCAAUCUCUUUAGACAUUGUGAUGGUCAUGAACCAAAUACUUAUAUCUUGAAGUUGGCUGAUGUUGUUCCGGAAAAAAGUCAUCUCACAGCAGCAGUUGAGAAUUGGAGGGUUACUGAGUGUUGUAGGGAAGACAGUCAUGUUGAUAGAACAGAAAUUAGGUUCAGUUUCAAGCAUGGUUUUCCUCCGGCAAUGAGAUUGAGCAAGGACUUGAAAGCUAAGGUUCAGGAAUGGCAGAGAUUGCCCUAUGUGGGGCCAUAUGAAGGGAUAAGGGAAAAGAGAAAGUCUAAGGCUGCAAUCAUGGCAUUGGAAAAAUGAGCAGUUGCUAUUGUUCAUGAAUUCUUGAGUCUCACCAUGGAAAAGAUAAUUGAAGUGGACAAGAUUAGUCAUUUUAGAAAUUGGUUUGAAAUAGAUAUGAAUAUCAGGGACUUGUUCUUGGAUCAUCCUGGGAUAUUUUAUCUCUCAACCAAGGCGAAAACACACACCGUUUCCUCAGAGAAGCUUAUGAGAGAGGAUGACCCCAAUCCUGUUUAUGAGGCAAGGAGAAAGCUCCUUAAUUUAGUUCUGCUGGGACAUCAUGCAUUUUUUUCUAGUAGUCCAAUGAUAAGGGAUGCUGACCAGAGCAAAGUGGAUCAGUUUCGAGGAAAAGGAUGAGACUAAAGAAACACAAGUUUUGUUGUACUUUUGAUAGAUCCUCUCCAAGGAAGAGCUGCCUUGCUCUCAUCCUUUUGUUUUCCUGGUUUUAAGUUUAGAAAGAUAGAAAGGUAAAUAAGACAAUCUAUGAACUAUGGAAAAACGGCCAGCCGAUGAGGGUUGUCUAAGAGGUGGUUUUGUCCACAUUAAGUUUCAGAGAUUAAGAUAUUUGGGCAUUUCUGGAUUUGGCCUGAUAAACUCCAUUCAAUUCCAGUGCCCUAUCAUAUACAGUCUAGAUUCAUCUGGAGUAGCUUUUUGCUGAUGAUGUACAAUCUGGGCCUCUGUGUCAGUUCAAGCAAUCAAAUUCUAGAAUCUCAGAACUUGCCAAGUUGCUGUGGUCUGGUUACGAGGGAGUUCCGCUGUCUACCACAGCACCUAUUUUUGGAGCGGUAUCAGCUACUUCAGGUUAUUGACUUCCCAUGGCUCUCUCUGUCCUAUAUGUUACAAAGAAGACAGCCCUGAAACUUUUCAGUACUCGAAAUUGGACUCCUUUUCUCGUGUUUCUAUUGCUUUCUUUUAACCAUAGUACCAUGACAGCGCAUCGUGUGGGCUGCUGGCCCACUUAUCGCCAUUACAAGAUUGGAGAAAUUGAAUGGUGUUUGAGCUCAACGAUUGAUCUUGAGGAGCUAGUGCAUGUCAAGUAAAUGGCAUUUUCUCCUUUUCUACAA
Molecule: RNA transcript, 2819 nt
Organism: Eucalyptus grandis
Lineage: Eukaryota; Viridiplantae; Streptophyta; Magnoliopsida; Myrtales; Myrtaceae
Gene name: general transcription factor 3C polypeptide 6-like
Exons: 7
Source: RefSeq, a predicted model, not a curated record